This 497-nucleotide ribosomal RNA is filed under the name uncultured bacterium. Its description in RNAcentral is "partial 16S ribosomal RNA". It matches the Rfam family "Bacterial small subunit ribosomal RNA", at positions 28 to 507 of the family's 1533-position model. The record is from RNAcentral.
GAUGAACGCUGGCGGCGUGCCUAAUACAUGCAAGUCGAGCGAACAGACGAUGAUCUUGCUCCUCUGACGUUAGCGGCGGACGGGUGAGUAACACGUGGAUAACCUACCUAUAAGACUGGGAUAACUUCGGGAAACCGGCUCUAAUACCGUAUAAUCUCUUGAACCGCAUUGUUCAAUGGUGAAAUACGGUUUUGCUGUCACUUAUCGAUGGAUCCCGGCUGCAUUAGAUAGUUGGUACGGUAACGGCUUACUAAGGCAAGGAUGCGUAGCCGACCUGAGGGGGGGGUAGGCGACAUGGGAACGGGGACAGGGUCAAGAGUCCUACGAGAGGCAGCAGUAGGGAAUGUGCGGCAAUGGGGGAAAGCCUGACGGAGCAACGCGGAGUGAGUGAUGAAGGUCCUGGGAGCGUAAAAAUGGGUUAUGAGGGAAGAACAGAUGUGGAAGGAACUAUGCACGGAGUGACGGUAAUGAAUAAGAAAGCAACGGCUAACUACGUG